ACAAUAUUGAAGAAAUGACACUCUGCUACAAUGUAAAGUAGUAAGUGUACAGCCUGUAUAACAGUGUAAAUGUGCUGUCCGCUCAAAAUAACUCAAUACACAGCCAUUAAUGUCUAAACCAUUGGCAACAAAAGGGAGUACACCCCGAAGUGGAAAUGUCCAAAUUGGGCAGAAUUAGCCAUUUUCCCUUCCUGGUGUCCUGUGACUCGUUAGUGGUACAAGGUCUCAGGUGUGAAUGGGGAGCAGGUGUGUUAAAUUUGGAGUUAUCGCUCUCACACUCUCUCAUACUGGUCACUGGAAGUUCAACUUGGCACCUCAUGGCAAAGAAUUCUCUGACGAUCCGAAAAAAAAGAAUUGCUAAAAACGGCUUAGGCCAGGCAUAAGCAACCUUCGGCACUGCAGAUGUUGUGGACUACAUCUCCCAUAAUAAAUACC
Molecule: non-coding RNA, 435 nt
Organism: Pelobates cultripes (western spadefoot toad)
Lineage: Eukaryota; Metazoa; Chordata; Amphibia; Anura; Pelobatidae
Source: the annotation of a GenBank genome assembly